AACGAACGCUGGCGGCAGGCCUAACACAUGCAAGUCGAGCGAGGACUUCGGUCCUAGCGGCGGACGGGUGAGUAACGCGUGGGAACGUGCCCUUUGCUUCGGAAUAGCCCUGGGAAACUGGGAGUAAUACCGGAUGAGCCCUUUGGGGGAAAGAUUUAUCGGCGAAGGAUCGGCCCGCGUUGGAUUAGGUAGUUGGUGGGGUAAUGGCCUACCAAGCCGACGAUCCAUAGCUGGUUUGAGAGGAUGAUCAGCCACACUGGGACUGAGACACGGCCCAGACUCCUACGGGAGGCAGCAGUGGGGAAUCUUAGACAAUGGGGGAAACCCUGAUCUAGCCAUGCCGCGUAAGCGAUGAAGGCCUUAGGGUUGUAAAGCUCUUUCAGCUGGGAAGAUAAUGACGGUACCAGCAGAAGAAGCCCCGGCUAACUCCGUG
RNAcentral lists this ribosomal RNA (433 nucleotides) under uncultured bacterium. RNAcentral's name for it is "partial 16S ribosomal RNA". It matches the Rfam family "Bacterial small subunit ribosomal RNA", at positions 29 to 507 of the family's 1533-position model. The record is from RNAcentral.